Molecule: long non-coding RNA, 206 nt
Filed under: Carica papaya (papaya)
Lineage: Eukaryota; Viridiplantae; Streptophyta; Magnoliopsida; Brassicales; Caricaceae
Description: long non-coding RNA (CPAP_LNC006304)
Source: RNAcentral
GCCCAGAUUGCACGUGCACGGACGGUCCAGAUUGAAUCGCGCACGGACGGCCCAGAUUGUAUAGCAUUGAACGGCCCAAAUUCAUUUCGUAUUUAAUUGCGAUCAGAUGGUCCAGAUUGAAUUGCGAUGGACGGCUCAGAUUAAAAGCGGAUGGUUAUAAAUAAUCUUAUCCGCACCCAAACCCUAACUCUAGCCUUCAGAGCUUC